GAUCUUUUGGUGGAAGAAUCACGGCAGAGCAUGAGACUCUUAAUCUCAGGGUUGUGGGUUCGAGCCCCACGUUGGGCG
RNAcentral lists this transfer RNA (78 nucleotides) under Pleuronectes platessa (European plaice). Its description in RNAcentral is "tRNA-Lys". Lineage: Eukaryota; Metazoa; Chordata; Actinopteri; Pleuronectiformes; Pleuronectidae. The record is from RNAcentral.